CAAACAAAAGGCAUUAUCUGAAAUACACAGGUAUCCUUCCAAUUAUCAAAGAGGCUUCCAUAGAGGACCCAUGCUUUUAGUUACAAAGGGCAUGUCCCCACACGGGUGGCACUGGCAACCUCCUCUAGUACCCGACCAUUUAUUUUACAACGAAUGGGAUUUUGAUGGCAGCUUUAGAUUCAAGCAACGUACAGUUCCUUUCAUUUAGUCCAGAGCUAUUGUACAGGUAAGACAUUUUUAUUUUUUUCUAUCCACAUUUUUUAUUUAUUGGGUUAGGACGGAACGCCCAUGGUUCCAGAAUUUGGAGACUGGUUGGUUCUAAUAAGGAGAUUGAUAAAGCUCAGGAAACCAUUGCUCCUGACCAAACUGUAAUAUGACUUGUUUAAAAGUAUCAUUCAUCCUAGAUUUCAAACCCACAACGCUUGUGUGAGUGUGUGGGGGAGGGUGUCCACUUAGUAAUUAGUGCUCUAUUAUUUUGGUUCUGUUGUCAAUUCCCCACAAUUCCAUGUUUAGUGAAUACAUUUUACUUUGAGGGAUUAGCUGGCUAAUACUCCUCCCGUAAUAUCUCUCAGCCAGAAAUCAGAGGCGAUGAUUGCGGUUUAUAGCAAAAAUUGUAUCAUUUAUUAUUUUAAAACAGCCUGUGUCUAUUAUACUACUAUAUAUUUUAUUUAUCUUUUCUAUAGCGGUCCUUUUGCACUUACACCCUCUCUCCUUUAAUAUGUAUGUAUUGUGCGCUUUCUUUAUUAUUUUUUAAUGCCAAUAUAUAAGUUCUGGUUGGGUGCCCAAUUUGUGGCAACUUUCCCAAGUAGCGCCAAUUCAUUAUCGGUGCAAUGCAGGCAAGGGCAGGGAUGGGUAAGAGAUGAUGUAACACCCACAGACCCUGUAAAGUGGAGGUGAAAGCACUGGAGAGUAGGUAAAUAGUUAGUUAAAGGAACACUCCAAGUACCAUAAUCACUGCAGCACACAUAAGUGAUUAUGUUACGAUGAGUGCCCUGACACCCACCCUCAUGUAAAGCACUUCUUGAGUGGCUAGAGGAUUAUAGGAAUGGAGUGACUGAUGUAUGCAUCCCUUGCACACACACACAAACACAUAGUGAAUCUCUUACACACAUACAGAGAAAUACACAAUGCAUCCCUUACACACUACACACAUAAACACGCAUUGCAUUGCUUACACAAAUACAUGUAUUCCUUACACACAAACAUAUUGCAUCCAUCUGGAUUCCCAAUACAUUUCAUUCCAGAAAACACACACACAUUACAUCCUCUACACCAAUAAUGGCUAACCUUGACACCAUAAAUUGUUCCUGGACUACAUUUCCCAUGAUGCUCAGCUAGCUUUUAGACUAUGAAAGCUAGCUGAGCAUCAUGGGAAAUGCAGUCCAGAAACUAUUUAUGGUGUCAAGGUUAGCAUUCCCUGCCCUACAAACAUACACUCCACUCCCUGUGAGCGGACUCAGAUGUGGGCACUGUGGGUGAAAUCAGGGGCAGGCCACAAAAUUUCUGAUGGCAGCCCUGCCUGCGGAUAUAACAGAAGUGGACCAAAGGUAAGGAUUUACUAAAACUCAAAAAUUUUAACUGAAUAUAUCAUUUAUCGGGAUGAUAAAUUCUAUAUUAAAUAUUAAGUAUCAAUGCAAAAAUGAAAUUGCUCUCCUUACCACUGACUUAAAUCUAGAUUAAUAAAUCUAAAAUUUGUUUUUCUCCAGAACAAGGAACGUCCAUAAUGUCAACUCAUGGGGUCGUUGUUCGAGUCCCGUCAUAUCUACUGGGAAUUUCUCCCCAUAUAAUACCUAGAGUGAGGGUCCAGCCCUCCACAUACCCAAAAC
Non-coding RNA from Pelobates cultripes (western spadefoot toad), 1826 nucleotides. The record is from the annotation of a GenBank genome assembly. NCBI's taxonomy places the organism in Eukaryota, Metazoa, Chordata, Amphibia, Anura, Pelobatidae.